UACUUUAAAUGGUUACAUGUGGAGUUUGUUUUGGGUUGAGCUUAUACAAUGCCAUACAAAAGUUAUCAUUAGUUUUCUUCCAUAAACCGUGGGCUAAUUGAUUUUCCAUUGCACUCAUUAAAAAUAGAUACUUCGCUUUUCUGAAGAUUGUCUCAGAAACCCAAAGCAGGGCCUGGGUCCUCUGGGAUGCCAUCAACUGACCAUUCCAUCAGGCCUUGAGUAGUGGCCCUCCUACUUGUCAGAACUGAAGUAUUUAUCCCAUUUCCCAGCAGAUAAACAUUUGCAAGGCAAAUAAUAAAUUAGCCAUUAAUCAGAAGAAUGUUUGCAUUCGAUGAACUCUGAAUGGAGUGGAGAUGUCAGGUAGAUAGACAAGGUAAAUCAACAAGGCAGAAUCAAUCACAAAGAAGAGCCACCCUUGAUUUAGAAAACAUUGGCUCUAACAUGUGAAGACUUUGAAAGGCUGUAACAACUUUCAGAUCUGUUGUCUGAGAGGCCCAGGUGUUGAGCUUUGCUUGGCUAUUUAAAAAAUCAUGUGAUCCUGGUUUUGUCUUGCAGAGCUGGAAUUGCCAAUGCAUGAAUAAGGAUACAAUGAUAGAACACCUCAAAGCCUUACCAUUUGGCACUAUAAGUUGAUGAUGGUUGAUUUUGAUUCUUCGAAGGAAAAAGUGCCCUUUCAGUGUGAUAUCCUCAACUCAUGUUAAAAAGCAUUGAUCUAAGAUCUCCAACACCCACUUACCAAUAAAUAUACACUAUAAAUAUAUUUCAGUUUUUCAAGUCGGUU
Long non-coding RNA from Otolemur garnettii (small-eared galago), 781 nucleotides. RefSeq lists it as uncharacterized. The record is from RefSeq and is a predicted model, not a curated record. Lineage: Eukaryota; Metazoa; Chordata; Mammalia; Primates; Galagidae. The transcript is spliced from 3 exons.